This 713-nucleotide long non-coding RNA is filed under the name Carassius auratus (goldfish). RNAcentral's name for it is "lncRNA (ENSCARG00000042193.1)". The record is from RNAcentral. Lineage: Eukaryota; Metazoa; Chordata; Actinopteri; Cypriniformes; Cyprinidae.
AUGACAUCAAGAUUGGAAUGUUUGGAAUCAUCAGCUCUUUUAGUUUCACUGAAGGCAGAUCCUGGAAGACUGCAGCAGAGUUCCACUGUUGCCGAGGAGACAGCUGUCAAUCAUCAGCAGCUGCUGGAACGCUCCAUUGAGACGCUUCAGGGGGAGCUCAGCUGUGCUGUGAAAGAUGGAGAGACCCUGAGAGAAGAGAGACAUCAGAUAAAGAGGAAGGUGGAGAUGACCACGGUGAACUCAGCACUGCAGAAACAGAAGGAGGACAACAAGGAGCUGAUGGAGAGCCUGGCAGCCUUCAGCAUCAGCAGGCACAAGUGCAACAGAUGGCCACUGAAUGUACCCAACACUGAGCAACACUGCACUGCAGAACACUUACACACAGAUGCAGAGAGGGAAUCUGACACUAAAAGAGCAACGCUGUGCACUACAGCAACACCACAGAGACACGCACCUGGAAGAGAGUUUGAAACGGCUCCAGGAUGAGGCAGAAGUGAGACUCAGGGAAGUUUAUCUGGAGUCACAGCAGGACAUUGUCUUUUGGGUUUUCUCUCGGGAUCGCCGGUGACCCGCUGUGUGGAAACACUGAGCCAUGCGACAGUUGAAGGGCAAGCCGAAGAAGGAGUCGUGGAAGGACAAAAAGGAGCGCAAACAGGCCAUGCAUGAGGCGCGGGAGCAGGUGACAACCAUCGUUCUUCCGACACUCGUCUUCC